GUACUAAUGAACAAGGGCUUAGGAGUCAGGAGGCGGGGUUCAAAUCCUUGCUCAGCUACUAUGUGACCUUGGCCAACUUCCUUCCAUGGCUCUCCAUUUCCUCAUCUAUCAAACAAAGAUUGUACAAACAAGUCCAACAAACCCACCAUUAUGCCCAUCCUGGCCCAUGAAAGCAAGCCCUCUGCUCUAGCCAAAAUUGGAAUCAUCAGCCUGAGACCCUGCUCCCCCUCCUAUGGCCCUAUCCUAUCCUGAUCAGACUGCACUAGAAUUCUCCCUGGUUCUGAGCUCUGCACUUCUUACCCUGUCCCGGAUGACUGCUCUUCCACCCCCUGAUUUCUCCGUCCUCCUGAUUUUCCUGAGGAGAUGGACCAGCUCUUUGGAGCUGGGGUAUGGGAUCCUCUCUGGCAGCGUGCUGCAGGACAAAGGUGGCUUCAACAGAAGUGCAGAUUUCAAUUUCCUUGCAUCCCUUGGUCUGUUUGUGACCUGCUGAUGGUAAAACCUCUUCAUUUAUCAAUGUGCUCAGGAUGGUGGCUUGGGGACUUCCAAGAUCUAUAUACAGAGGUAAGAAAUCGUCAUGGGAUUACAAGAACUGGUUUACUCUGUACUCACCUAAUGCAAGAGGGAAGACCAGUGUGUGUGUGUGUGUGGGGGGGGGGGUUAGUUUCCUUUAACAUCUGCAUGGUUUUGCCCUUUUCAAAUGGCAGUGGGAGCCACUGCGAGCCUGCCAGUGGCCCUGGCUCUUCCAACUGUACGCAGGUCUUUUAAUGGAAAGACAGUGCAAGUUUGAGUUCAGAGGGUCUGGGUGUAGUUCCUACUCCUGCUAAUAAACAGCUGUGCAACCCUGGGAAGUUAGGUGACCUCUCGUAAGAUUAGGUGAAAUUCAAUUGUUAUAAUAAAUAAGUCACAUGGAAG
RNAcentral lists this long non-coding RNA (912 nucleotides) under Canis lupus familiaris (dog). RNAcentral's name for it is "lncRNA (ENSCAFG00845010957.1)". Lineage: Eukaryota; Metazoa; Chordata; Mammalia; Carnivora; Canidae. The record is from RNAcentral.